Molecule: long non-coding RNA, 297 nt
Organism: Tupaia belangeri chinensis (Chinese tree shrew)
Lineage: Eukaryota; Metazoa; Chordata; Mammalia; Scandentia; Tupaiidae
Exons: 3
Source: RefSeq, a predicted model, not a curated record
CAACUCACCAUUUUGACUGAGUAUGAAAGAACCAAAAGACACUGCUUGAAGACUUUCAGAGGCAUUGAAGAGGAUUCAGAACCCUGCAGAAAGAUGAACUGUGUGCGCUGCAGUUCCCACGAGCAUGUCACUAACCAUUUCCUGGGCCUUAUCACCGAGAGGAAAAAAAGGAGUGCCUUUGAAAAGUGGAAACAAAACAUCAGGCCCCAUUGUCGUGCGACUUCCCCGGCCACAAUCUGGGCUCUCCAUCACUCGACACGCAGAGACUACAAACACGGCCUAAUACAGAUACUCCGA